This 1014-nucleotide long non-coding RNA is filed under the name Bos indicus x Bos taurus (hybrid cattle). RNAcentral describes it as "lncRNA (ENSBIXG00005020702.1)". Lineage: Eukaryota; Metazoa; Chordata; Mammalia; Artiodactyla; Bovidae. The record is from RNAcentral.
AUGUGUCUGGGUGUGUGUGUGUCUGUCUGUGUGUCUGUGUGUGUGUGUCUGUGUCUGUGUGUGUGUCUGUGUGUGUGUGUCUGUCUCUGUGUCUGUGUGUGUCUCUGUGUGUGCCUCUGUGCGUGUGUCUGUGUGUGUGUGUGUGUGUGUCUGUGUGUGUGUUUCUGUGUGUCUGUGUGUAUGUCGAUUUGUGUGUCUGUGCCUGUGUGUCUGUCUGUCUGUGUCUGUGUAUGUCUUUGUGUGUGUGUGUGUCUGUGUGUAUGUCGAUUUGUGUGUCUGUGCCUGUGUGUCUGUCUGUCUGUGUCUGUGUAUGUCUUUGUGUGUGUGUGUGUCUGUGUGUCUCUGUGUGUGUCAGCGUGUGUAUCUGUGUUUGUGCAUCUGUGUGUGUGUUUCUGUGUGUGUCUGUGUCAGUCUGUGUGUAUGUCUGUCUCUGUGUGUGUGUGUCUGCCUCUGUGUGUGCCUCUGUGUGUGUGUCUGUGUGUGUCUGUGUGUGUGUGUAUGUGUGUGUCUAUGUGUGUAGUAUGUCUGUGUGUGUAUGUGUGUUUGUGUGUCUCUGUGUGUGUGUCUGUGUGUGCGUGUCUGUGUGUAUGUCGGUUUGUGUGUCUGUGCCUGUGUGUGUGUAUGGGUGUCUGUGUGUGUCUCUCUGUGUGUCUGUGUGUGUGUGUCUGUGUGUGUGUCUGUGUGUGUCUUUGUGUGUGUGUCUUGUGUCUGUGUCUGUGUCUCUGUGUGUGUCUGUGUGUGUCUUUGUUUUUGUGUGUGUCUUGUGUCUGUGUCUCUGUGUGUGUCUGUGUGUGUGUGUGUCUGUGUGUCUGUGUGUGUGUGUCUGUGUAUUUGCCUGUCUGUGUCUGUCUGCGUGUGUGUGUGUCUGUGUGUCUGUGUGUGUUUGCCUGUCUGUGUGUGUGUCUGUGUGUGUGUGUGUGUCUGUGUGUCUUGUGUGUGUGUGUGUCUGCCUGUUUGCCUGCCUGCCUGUCUGUGGAGGGACGGGCUCGGAAGGCACCGCACUGGGCCGCCUGA